GAGGGUGUCGCUCGGUGGUAGAGAGUGUGCUUAGCAUGCACGCGGUCCUGGGUUCAAUCCCCAGUGCCUCCU
This 72-nucleotide transfer RNA is filed under the name Camelus bactrianus (Bactrian camel). It matches the Rfam family "tRNA". Rfam says of the family: Transfer RNA (tRNA) molecules are approximately 80 nucleotides in length. RNAcentral also lists the same sequence under 2 other names. The record is from Rfam by way of RNAcentral. Lineage: Eukaryota; Metazoa; Chordata; Mammalia; Artiodactyla; Camelidae.